UACGUAGGGUGCGAGCGUUGUCCGGAAUUAUUGGGCGUAAAGAGCGUGUAGGCGGCCUGAAAGGUCAGCUGUGAAAACUCGAGGCUCAACCUCGAGACGUCGGUUGAAACCAUCUGGCUAGAGUCCGGAAGAGGAGUGUGGAAUUCCCGGUGUAGCGGUGAAAUGCGCAGAUAUCAGGAGGAACACCGAUGGCGAAGGCAGGUCUCUGGGCCACUACUGACGCUGAGAAGCGAAAGCAUGGGGGAGCGAACAGG
Molecule: ribosomal RNA, 254 nt
Filed under: uncultured bacterium
Lineage: Bacteria
Description: partial 16S ribosomal RNA
Rfam family: Bacterial small subunit ribosomal RNA
Source: RNAcentral